UGGGGAAUAUUGGACAAUGGGCGAAAGCCUGAUCCAGCCAUGCCGCGUGUGUGAAGAAGGUCUUCGGAUUGUAAAGCACUUUAAGUUGGGAGGAAGGGCAGUAAAUUAAUACUUUGCUGUUUUGACGUUACCGACAGAAUAAGCACCGGCUAACUCUGUGCCAGCAGCCGCGGUAAUACAGAGGGUGCAAGCGUUAAUCGGAAUUACUGGGCGUAAAGCGCGCGUAGGUGGUUUGUUAAGUUGGAUGUGAAAUCCCCGGGCUCAACCUGGGAACUGCAUUCAAAACUGACAAGCUAGAGUAUGGUAGAGGGUGGUGGAAUUUCCUGUGUAGCGGUGAAAUGCGUAGAUAUAGGAAGGAACACCAGUGGCGAAGGCGACCACCUGGACUGAUACUGACACUGAGGUGCGAAAGCGUGGGGAGCAAACAGGAUUAGAUACCCCUGUAGUCCCUGAGCGGGCUGGCAAGGCGCAU
This 472-nucleotide ribosomal RNA is filed under the name uncultured bacterium. RNAcentral describes it as "bacterial SSU rRNA". It matches the Rfam family "Bacterial small subunit ribosomal RNA", at positions 355 to 825 of the family's 1533-position model. The record is from RNAcentral.